UUGGUUGCAUGCAAGCUAGCAUUUAUAUUCCUUCCCACCACAUCGGCGAGAAUAAUAUACAGAGCUUAUCAACCAAACACAAUUUUCUUUAUACUAUAUAACUGUAUGUACAGAGCUUCUUAUCCAAACCAUGAGCUCUCCGUAGAGAGAGCUGUUUCGCGUUUUUCAGUUAUUUCAUAUUGGCUCUGUGUUUUGUCAUGCGAUCAACUGCUUGCUUCUACUUUUGCUGUUUCAUCUGAUAGUUUUGUUUCCGAGGUUGUUUCGUGAUGGGCUGGUUCAACAAAGUCAACGGGCUUGUCUUCCUGAGAUUCUUUCGUAGUUUCAGUUUCGGUUUUGCUUUCACGUUCGGUUUCGGUUUCAGGUUCUGCUGGCAUCUCAUCCUCGUGCGUCUCAUGGUUUGCUUCCUCUGCAAUUGACUUUGGGUUUGACGUCAGCUCUUCCACUUUUUCAGGGUCAGCAGCCGUUGACAUUGUACUCUCUUCUUCUUUCUUGGUAGGAACGUCUUCUGCUACUGCUGCUGAAUUCUCCACCUCGGUCGCUUGUGGUUCAUCGUCCAAACUUGGUGCGUUUACUUCCUCCGUUGACUUCUCGCCAAGGUCAACUAGUGUUGUUUGAUCCACACUUUGUUCUGGUGUACUUUGUUCUAGUGUAGUAUCUGCUGGUGCAUUCUCAACCUCAUCUGGCGCUGUUUCCACGACUGGAUUCUCGUCAGCUUGUCCCGGCUCUAGGGCCGCUAGUACUUCGUUGUCUUUCGGAGUGGUUUCAAUCUGCUCUGGCUCCUCAACUGGUUCGUGUUCCGCGGCAUUCAGUGGAGUCUCCUCGAGGCUUGGUGCUGUCUCGGUUUCGCCAGGGAUUGGUUCGGGUUCCACGGUUUCAACCUUGGCGGGAUCACCUGUGAUGAGUGGCUGGCUUUCCGGCAUUGCACGGUCUCCGGUUCCAGCUUCUUCAGAUCCGGCUACUUCCAGGCUUGGUGCAUCAAGUUCUUCCAGUGGCUUGAUGUCAGCUUCGGGAGUUUCCGCUGGGUCUUCCACCGCCGCUUCAAUGUUUGUAGUAGGAUUUGAUUCUUCUAUUGAUGCAGCGUCUGUGCUCUCGCCACCUUCUGGGAAUAUAACUUGUUCGCCAACUUUUUCCUCCUCUACCGAAGCUGGUUGUUCUUCUGUGCUUGGUGUUUCAAUAGACUCUUCCGUGGGAGAUUUGGAACUCUCGGCUGUUGUUUCAUCCACAUUUUGAUGCGACACUUCCUUGGGUUCUCCAGGCGUCUCCACAACUCCAGCAGCAUUCUCUUCUGCAGUUCCAACGAGCUUCUCCUCAGCUGGUUCAUGUGGAGGAAUUGUAACAGCUUGUUCUGGCUCUUGUAUCUCUAGAGCUCUUUCCUCCUCCUGUGCUUCAGCAGGCUUGUCCAUUUCAGUAGCUGGUUUGUUCAGACCAGUCGUUUGAUCAGCCAGUUCCUGUGUGUCGUCCUCUACGUGUUUCUCUGCAGGCUCCUCCAUUGGUUCAUCUGCUUGAGCUGCUGCCUCUGUUUCAAGAGUUUUGUCAUCUUCCGUCGUGGCAGCCGGUUCCUUUGCUUCCAGUUCCUGUGUUUCAUUGUUGGUUGUCUCGUGCUUUUCCGGAAUCUCCUGUUUUAGUUCGUCCGGCUUCGUAGUUUGGACUGCUUCUUGUGUCACAGGAGUUCCUUCAGAAGGCUCCACCAUUGCAGGAACUGGCUCAUCCACACUGGUUAAUUCUGCAGCUGGUUCAUCCAAACUAGUUCUUUCAGCUUGCUCCUGUGUCUCACUGGCUGGUUCGUCUACUUGUUUUUCAGGAACCUCCACUGGAUCAUCCAUCACGACCGCUGGAUCGAGCUCGUCCUUGCUCGUUACUGGUUCCUGUGUUUCAAGAGCUCUUUCGUCUGCUUCUUGUUCCCCGGGCUCUUCCACAGUCACAGCUGGUUGUGGUUCCUCACUUGGUGUUUGAGCAACUGUUUCCUCUUCAGCCUGUUUCAGAACUUCAACAGGCUCAUUAGCUGGUUCAUCCACAGCUGGCGUCUCAAGAAGUGGCUCUUCUGAAGCUGUGUCUUCAGCAGGUUCCUCUAACUUAGCAGCUGCUUCCUCCUCGCUUGUCGUUUGAACCGUUUCAGGAACUGCUUGUUGUUCUGGAAGUUCGCCUGGCUCAUUUGGAGUAGGAGCUGGUUCAUCCGCAACUGGCUGGUGAACUUCAACAGGCUCCUCCACGGAAGAUGGUUCUUUCUCACUCGUUUGAUCCUUUGCAUGUUGCUCUGGAACUUCGACUGGUUCAGCAUCUAGAGUAGAAGCUGGUUGAUCCACAACCGGCUCAUCCGCCACCACAGAUGAUGGUUCCUUCUCACUCGUCGUUUCAUCCUCUGCAAGUUGCUCCAAAACUUCAACUGGCUCAACAUCUAGAUGCGAAGCUGGUUGAUCCACAACCGGCUCGUCUGCCACCACAGAAGAUGGUUCCUUCUCACUCGUCGUCUCAACAGUCUGGUCCUCUGCAUGUUGUUCUUGAACUUCAACUGGCUCAGCAUCUAGAGUAGAAGCCGGUUGAUCCACAACUGGCUCGUCUGCCACCACAGAAGAUGGUUCCUUCUCACUUGUCGUUUCAUCCUUUGCAAGUUGUUCCGGAACUUCGACUGGCUCAGCAUCUAGAUGUGAAGCUGGUUGAUCCACAACUGGCUCGUCGGCCACCACAGAAGAUGGUUCCUUCUCACUUGUUUCAACAGUCGAAGAUGGUUCCUUCUCACUUGUCGUUUCAUCCUUUGCAAGUUGUUCUGGAACUUCGACCGGCUCAGCAUCUGGUUGAUCCACAACUGGCUCGUCCGCCACCACAGAAGAUGAUUCCUUCUCACUCGCAACGGUCUCGUCCUCUGCAAGUUGUUCCGGAACUUCGACUGGAACUUCAACUGGCUUUGCAUCUAGAGUAGAAGCUGGUUGAUCCACAACUGGCUCGUCCGAAGCUGUGACUUCAACGGGUUCCACCACCAAAGAAGAUGGUUCCUUCUCACUCGUUGUUUCAAUAGUCUCAUCCUCUGCAUGUUCUUCUGGAACUUCGACUGGCUCUGGAUCUGGUUGAUUCACAACUGACUCAUCCGAAGCUGUAACUUCCACCGGUUCCAAUGGUUCCUUCGUAGUUUCAUCCUCUGCAUGUUGCUCUGGAACUUCGACUGCCUCACCUAGAGCAGAAGCUGGUUCAUCCACAACUUGCUCGUCGGCCAUAGAAGGUGGUUCCUUCUCACGAGUCGUUUGAACAGUCUCAUCCUCUGCAUGUUGUUUUGGAAGUUCGACUGGCUCAGCAUCUAGCGUAGAAGCUGGUUGAUCCAGAACUGCGUCCGAAGCUGUGACUUCAGCAGGUUCCUCCACCACCAAUGGUUCCCUCUUGCUCGUGGUCUCAUCCUCUGCAUGUUGCUCUGGAACUUCGACUGCCUCACCUAGAGCAGAAGCUGGUUCAUCCACAACUGGCUCGUCCAAAGCUGUGGCUUCCUCCGCCAUAGAAGAUGGUUCUUUCUCACUAGUCUCAUCCUUUGCAUGUUGUUCCGGGACUUCGACUGGCAUAGCAGCUUGUUCAUCCACGGGGGAUGUCUCAACGGGCUCCUCCAAAGUUUCGACUUCGGCAGGCUCCUCCUCACGUGUUGCUUGAACUGUUUCCGUCACCAGUUCUUCUGGAUGUUGUCCUGGAACUUCAACAGGUUCAUCUUGAGUAGGAGCUGGUUCGUCCACGACGGGUGACUUUACUGGCUCUUCAGGAGCCUCCUCCAACUUAGCUGAUGGUUCCUCCUUGCUCGUGGUUGGAGCUAUUUCAUCCUCUAAAUGCUGUUCCGGAACUUUGACAGGAUAUGAAGCUUCAACUUCAGCAGGCUCCUCCACAUUAGCAGAUGGUUCCUCCUCGCUCGUCGUUGGAACUGUUUCAACCCCCGGUUCCUUCAAAUCUUGUUCUGGAACUUCGACAGGUUCAUCUCGAGUAGGAGCUGGUUCAUCCACGACAGGUGCCUCCGCUGGCUCUUCCAAAGCUUCACCUUCCUCCAGCUUAGCAGUUGAUGGUUCCUCAGUCACGAGUUCCUUCAAAUUUUGUUCUAAAACUUCAGCAGGCUCGUGAGCUGGUUCGUCCACGGGGGAUGUCUCCACCGGCUCUUGCGAAGCUUCACCAUCAGCAGGUUCCUUCAACUUACCCUCGGCUGGAUCCUCCACAGUCGUUGUCUCUGGCGUCCCAAGAGCUGGUUUUUCAGCCUCGGCUGGUUCCUCCACAGUCGUCGUCUCUGGCGUCCCAAGAGCUCGUUCUUCAACCUCGGCUGGUUCCUCCACAGUCGUCGUCUCUGGCGGCUCAAGAGCUCGUUCUUCAACCUCGGCUGGUUCCUCCGCAGUCGUCGUCUUUGGCGUCCCAAGAGCUGGUUGUUCAACCUCGGCUGUUUCCAUAGUUGGUUCUUGUUCUUCCGUUUUUGCUUCAACAGUUUCCUCUAAAGCUGGCUCAGAGGCUGCUGCUUCCUCUUUACCAAUAGCGUCAUCCGUAGUUGACGUAGUAGUAUCCAGCUUAUCCUCGGCCGGUUUCUCCGUCUCUGGCGUCCCAUCUUCAACCUCGGCUGGUUCCAUCGUCCCGAUGGUUAGUUCUUGCAGAUCACGAUCCGUUGAUGCUGGUUCUUCUGCUUUUCCUUCAACAGGUUCCUCCAAAGCUGGCUCAGAUAUUGUUGCGUCCUCUUUACCAAUAGCGUCAUCCAUAGUCUCCAACUCAUCCUCGGCUGGUUCUUCCACUGUCGUCCCAAGAGCUGGUUCUUCAACCUCGGGCGGUUUCUCCGUCUCUGGCGUCUCAUCUUCAACCUCGGCUGGUUCCAUUGUCCCGAUGGUUGGUUCUUGCAGAUCACGAUCAGUUGAUGCUGGUUCUUCUGAUUUUCCUUCAACAGGUUCCUCCAAACCUGGCUCAGAUGCUGUUGCAUCCUCUUUACCAAUAGCGUCAUCCAUAGUCUCCAACUCAUCCUCGGCUGGUUCUUCCACUGUCGUUGUCUCUGGCGUCCCAAGAGCUGGUUCUUCAACCUCGGCUGGUUCCAUUGUCUCGAUGGUUGGUUCUUGCAGAUCACGAUCAGUUGAUGCUGGUUCUUCAGCCAAAGUCACUGGUUGAUCAGUGCUCUCUUCAACCACGCUAGGAGGCUCAGCUUUGGCUUCAAGAACUUGAUACUCAGGUUCUUCCGCAGCUUCAACUUGAGGCUCAUCUGCUAGUGAUUUCGUUCGUUCAGUUUCUUCACCAGUUUCUUCCUGCGUCUCGGCAGUUGGCGCUGCUUCAACACUUGUUUCAACUCCCGUGUCCUCUUUCCUGUCAAGUUCAGCCCCAGCCUUCUCAUCUGAAACAGCUUCCACGGUUGGAGCAGCGUCGUCAACUGUUGCAUCGGGUGAAACUUCAGUUUCGACGUCAGGAGCGGAGCUCGUAACCUCGGAGUUCUCCGUGAUAUCAGGUGCCGUUGUCGCAGGAAUAUUAAAAGUUUCCGGUGCAACUUCUCUAGACUCUUCGUUUGGUUCGAGAGUAUCCUCUUCCUUGACCUCCAAAGUAUCAGGUCCUUGAGCUCCAGCCGUUUCUGGAGGAGGCUCGACGCCUCCUUCUUCACUUAGCACAGCCUCUUCAGACGGUGUAGCGUCAAGAGCCACUGUCGUGUCUUCUAACGCAGAACUUUCCUCACUCUCAACAGGCUGAGUAGUAGAAGCAGCCGCUUUAGCACCUGUUUCCUCCGGCAAGCUCACUGGAGCUGCUUCUUCUUUCGCAGCACCGGCACUGUCCAAAUUGGUUUCCUCGCUCACAGGUUCUUCACGAUCCUUUGACUCAACCUCAAUCUUGCUAUCUUCAACCUGUGGCGUCUCUUCUUCAGUUGGAAUUUCUUCCGUUUUUUCUUCCAUUGGCGGCACAAUUUCGGCCUGAGCAGCACUCUCGCUGUCCACUUUUUCCUCAACUUGAGGAGGAGCUUCGUCCAUUUGCAGUUCUUUGUCACCGCUAGACACAUUGUCGGUUUCAUGCAUGGUUUCUGGUGUAGCAGCCUCGAACUCUUCGGCUUGAGUAGGAACUUCUUCCGUUUUCCCUUGAUUAUCUUUGCUUUCAGGCACUUUGUCGACUGUCUCUGCCGCCAGAGUUUCCUCCGCUUUCGGUUCGGUUUCUUCGACCUCGGCCUCGAUGUGGGUUUCCGGCAUCUGUUCGGGUUGAUCGACAUCUUCAGCUUUAACUUCACUUUCUCCACUUUCUGCUACAUUCUCGCGCUUGGCUUCCGUUGUCUCUGGAGCAGUAGCUACAUGGUCUUCAGGCUCGUCAACAUUUCCUUCCACUGUCCCUCCGGUUUCGAUGUUCUGUGGUACUUUUUCGUCCGCAGCAGCAGCCUUGCCUUCAACUCCCACCGUCGAAUCUACGGGAGCUUCAUCCGAAGGUAAUGAUUCGGGUACUUCCUUCUCCUCUGAUGGUUUAUCUGUCAAGUCUUCUAACUCCGACCUGGCUUGAGGAACGUUUUCUUUGUCCAUGACAUCGGGUGAAACGCCGCCACCUUGAAGAGCGGCUUCUUUGGCAUCGAUCUCCGCCGCUGGACUAAGUUGGUCGUCGAUACCUCGAUCACUGACGGCUUCCUUGUUUUCAUCCGUAGUUUCGUGUUUUCUAGUAUCCUGUCCAGUAUCUUCAGUAGCUUUGGUGUCUUCUGUCAUAACUGGCGAGUCAUCAGACGUUGGAGCCUCAGGCGGAACAUCUUUCAGAGCCUCGGAGACAACAGCGGGAGAAUCAAUUGCCAUCGCUUCAGAUAGUGGACUUUGAUCGUGUUUGGGAUCAUUGCUUGAAUCAUCGGUGCUCAAGGGCGCGUCAGCCGCUGGAACUUUAGAAAAGCUCUCCGGGGGAAGUACCACUUGUUGGGGUAAAUCAUGAAAGACUUCCUGACCUUGAGGACUUUCGGGUUCCUGGAAACUCUAAACAGCUCAAGAAAAGGCAUGCGAUAUUGGAGAACAUCAUCUUACCGCUUCAACUCUAGACAUUCCAACUGGAGACUCCUCAGCUUUUCCAGGAAUCUCACGCUGUUGGGUGAUAUGGUCAGCAAUUAAUACUUCGCAGCUCUAUGGACAAGAGUACCUCUUUAUUGAUAUCGUUCUCAGGCUUAUAGAAAUCCUCCACGACGGUCUUGAGUCCUCCCAGAUAUCUUGCUGCACGAGAAAAUCCCAGUAGAGUUGGAUAAGAUCAAACAAGAAACUCGGUUGUUUACCUUUACCUUCACUGCUACUCUCUCCAUUGGAAGACAAGGGAAGUGAAGAUCUCUCUGACGAAUCUGGCGAUCGACGAGAUGGACUCGACUUCACAGGCAUCGAAAACCCGUCUAGUUGCUGGACAAGAUCAUGAAAAACCUCCUCCUCUUGGCCCUCCUCUUCGUGCUCAUCCAUUCCUUUGAUUUCCUCCUUCUGGAUGGUCUCAAAGUCAUCUUUUGGUUCGUCGUGGAUUAACUUCUUGCCAGUCUCCUGCAAGAUCAGAUCCAAAACAAAUGAGAAAUCCAGACCACCACGAUAGAUCGAAGUUACUUUGAUCUUUGUGGCGACUUUGGAGGCCGCCUUGGACGUUCUGUGGUGGCCGUCAUCCUUCUCUUUGCGUUGAGCGUUUCCCAUGAUGAAUCAGAAGAACACACAACUAUGUAAAACAAUGAUAGUAGAAAUCUCUCGCUGCUCCUCCGUGCAAGGGGCUUGCUUCGUGCAAGCUUCUAAGAAAAACCGGAGCAAGGGAACAAAAACGCGAAUGAAAUCCAAGCUUGCGAUCAAAAAACAGUGCAAGUAUGAAUCACGGUCUCUAAAAUCCCUGUCGAGAAAGAGGAAAAGAAUCUAUAUACACGAGCACGCACACCGAUCUCUACGAAACCAGCAAAAUUUACACAAGAAAGCGCUGAAUGCCGGAUUCUAGCACGAAAAAAUCACUCCAGAUUCACAAAAUUACGCCAGCGCCAGGAUCUAAGCCCCUCCCUCUCGCCACAACUUUCCUCUUCGAUGGCGCCACGAUAAACCCUACAGUGAAAAAACUGUGAAGGCCGGACCAAUGCCAGCUAUGAGCGGCGAUCGUGGCCGUCCAUCUGAGAACGAUCCAGGCCGUUCACUGACAUUGUAAAGAGAAAAUAUUCUUCCUUCCCCACAAGAAUGACUUUCAAGGAGAUCACGUAGUUGGCUUGGAUCUUUUUAGAAUUAAACAAAGUGAUUAUCCUAAAAAUCGCUUUGCUGGAAUGAGUAGAGAAUAAAAUUUAUUCGAUGGCCUUUGCUGGAAAGAAGCAAUGCGAGAAAAAAAAACAAUAGAAAGUCGGUCUCUAAAAAACAAGCUUUUCUUGUCUCUUUGCCUCCACAGUGCGUCAACGAAGAACUUCAAACCGGGAGAGAUCUGGGAGCUCUACCUUUUGGAAGAACAAUUUGGACGGAGAGAGAUCUCGCGGCGGAUCAAUAGAAACUUCAAAAACUUGAGUGUGUUCUUGGUGUGUCUCGCGGGAAACGAAUCUCCGGCUCUUAAGACGUAACCAUAGCCAUUUUAGAUAAGCACCUAGCGAAACAUUUAGUAAGCCAUCCAGGGAAGAAACGCAAAGAGACUCUGAAGAAUGGUUGGAUGGUUUCCUCUUGUCAGUACCCACCUAAGCAACCCAGGCAAGGUAGUGAACACACCUGCAUCACCGGGGACCUCGGAGAUCCGCGACACGAGCCACGCCUUGGCGGUCGCGGUGUGCAUCGGUAGCAUGCUCACAAUCUCCCGUCGCAAGAGUCUGCAAUCAAAGAAGGGAAAUGGUUUCAAGUUAGAGUGAUCGUUCUCGUUUCAUGGAAGAAAAACUUAUACUCAUUCCAAACUACACAAUCGUUUGAGAAAUCGUCAAACUUUGCAAGCGAGCACGUCAACAAUCCUCCGAAAGAAACGCGAUCUUCUUACGCACAACAACGAAAAAAAAAAGUGCAGCGUCCAAAUAGAAAACUCACAGCGAAACAUAGAAAGACAUUUGGUAGGAAACUCAUGUACCGUCUUCAGGAAAAAAAAAACCAAACAAAGAAAAAAAUAGAUGAAAAACUCAAACCCAGCAAACAAUAAGACCCCUUCCAAACUACGGAACUGUUUGAGAGAUCAUCAAAUUUUGCACGUGAGCACAUCAGCAAUCCUCGGAAAGAAGAGCUAAAAAUUAGACCACCUUAUGCACAGCAAAAGAAGGAAAAUAAAAAUAAAAAUGCAGCUUCCAAAUAGAACUCACAACGAAAACAUAAAUAUAAACAAAAGACCUUUCGAAAGAAACCCAUGUAUCGUCACACAACUCGAGCACACAAAGAAACGAUGUAAAAACUUAACCCGGAAACAAUAAGACCCAAAACAAAAUGCUAUAGUCAGUCCAAUUGUUUGAGAGAUCAAGAUUUUGCAAGCAAGCACGCCGGAAAGAAGAGUUAAAAAUUAGAUCUUCUUACUAAAGGAAAACAAAUGCAAACAAAAAAAAGGAAAGAGAUUUCCUUUCAGGAAGAAAAACACAACCCGAGCAAACAAAGAAAAAAUAAACAGAUCUUCGAACAACAAUGAAAGAACUUAACCAGAGAACAAUAAGAGCCACCCAAAACAAAGAAAAACAUGCAAGAGGAAGCAAAUUUACCCCGAAGAACGAACGCCGCCCAAGGGAUUGCGCUGAGGCGCGCGGGCGCGAAAGAGCGGCGGCGCCUGAGGCCGGGCGGAGCGCGCAGCGGAGGCGGCAUUGGCGAACGCCGCCCUCGCGAAUCGUCCAGCACUUCUUGCAGCCAUAUCCUCCCUCUCAUGCAGGGUUUAGGGUUUGGGGGAGACCUGACAGAACAUUCCCCCCCGUCACCGAAUAUGCCGUCAAGCCAAGCGGCAAUAAGCAAUUCCAUCAAUUUAAUUAGCAGCAAUGUUCUUCGUUCCUGAUUCUUUUUUCUCGUUUUUCUUCGCGAUUUUUCCUUCUUUUUUUUGUGUGUUGUAGCCGAUUUAAGCACUACAUUCUUCCACCUGGAACAUCUUGAGGACCGUUCUAAACACUCCCGCGUCGACUGGAAUAUCAGAUAUCCUCGACACCAGCCACGCUUUCGCGGUGGCGGAAUGGAACGGGAGCAUUGUGGAAACCUCUCGCCGCAGCCUGCAUUAGCCAAGAAAAAAAAAAUCCUUGUGUGAGAGUUGCGAUUCGAUGACCAUAAACAAGAUUUAUCAAACAAUGCAUGCAACGCUGCGCUGAUAGAAAAAUCGACCAAAACACGAACCAAGCAUGAAGAAAACCAAACGAUUCAGGAAAAACGAGACCACUAAUCAACUAACGAAACAAGCUUACCAUUGCCGCAAGAUGAGAGAGAACAAGAGCAACAAGAAUUCACAGAAGAAAAGAAACCAAAAAAUGCAGCAUUGAGACCUCAUCCAAAUGCGGGAAAGGAGAAAUUUCACCCUGGAUUGGAACUUACACUGGCGAAUUCAUUCGAUUGGCGAGGCUGCCCCGCCUGGGAGCGGCGAAUCCCAAUGGCGGAGGCGGCCGCGGGCCGGCGGCGGGCCGGCGCUGCGCCGCAUUGAAGAAAGCCCUCCUCGCGAAGCCCGUCCUUGCUGCCAUACACCCAAACCAUUAGGGUUUAGGGUUUGAGCCACAAGGAACAUUCGAAAGAAUAUCCACCGCGAGGAAUAUACCCAUAGGAAAAGAAUAUUCGAUAGCGCAAAUUCUUUGCGUCUUUGUUUCUUUGGUUCAAGAACAAUAACUUUGCAGAAAGAUUUCAUGGCGGCGAUUUUUUCUUCACUCGUUUCUCAGCGAUUUCUUCUUUCUUGUGUCGAGUUCGUUCUUGCUCCCGUAGUGAUGGGACGUGGAAUUUGGACACGCUGCAGCACUCUGUCUGAAGACCACAGUUAAAACACGCUUUCUUUCCCGGGGGGCGGAAAAAAAAUAUGAAAUCCUCAAGAACAUGCAAGCCAGGCAAACCUGCUUUGGAGGAACUCUGCUGCAAAACUUUUUUUUUUUUCAGAGUCUAUGGUGAGCACAGUUUCGUACACACCUGCGUCGACAAGUAUCUCCGAAAUCCUCGAAACAAGCCACGCGUUUGCCGUCACCGAGUGCAUCGGCUGCAUUGUCAGCACCUCGCGGCGCAACCUGGAGACAUACCCGCAAAAACAAAGUUUUUCAGUCCACUUUCCCCGUCAAUGUUAUCUACAAUGACGGGAGAGCUUCAGUGCUGCUUAGCUAAGCCUCCAAAACCCAAAAACAAUGGCGGCGUGUCCAUCGCAGAGUGACACUCCUCAGGAAAGGAUGCCACCGAGACAAAGAAUAAAAUCAUCACAGCAAACUCUGGAUUCUAGAACACCAAGUAGAACUAAACUUGUGCAAAAUCAUUCCAGCACAAGCAACGCCAUAAUUCACCCCCAAAAAGGAAAGCCACCGAGACAAAGAACAAAAUCAUGCACUGUGACAUGCGAAAAGACCAUUCUUCGUACUUGUGCUGCAAAAUCCCUAUCUAGAACAAUGCAGCACCAGAAAUGCGACAAUUCCAGCAAGAAAGACGCCUUCCCUGCCAUCUACUCUAGAAUCAAUCCAAAGCGAUUCUUACCCGGACGAUUGCAAGCGAGCAAUGCGCGCGCCGCUCCUGGAACUAGCGAAUCCAAACCCCGGCUGCGGCUGCGCGGGCCUGGCCGCCGGCCGCGGCGCAGCGGCAUUGAAGAAUGCCCUGCGCGCAAAGCGCCCCGCGCUCCUGGCAGCCAUAAUCCCUAGCUAGGGUUUAGGGCUUCUCCAGAUGCUCUAGAAUAUCCUCCCGCCGGUUCCCGGUUCGAAUAUCUUUGUUCUGGCAGACGCGUGGCCCAAUCCUCGGCAUCGGACACGUGCCAUGCUUGAAGAUCGCCGACGGCCAACACGUGUCUUGUAAAGAUCUUGAAGAUAUUUGGAACUUUCCACGUGUUUGCCCGGCAAAUAUCUCACACGUCACUGAAAAGCGUGUAUUAGUGCUUAAUGGUUUUCAGCGUAUAGAAGCGAGGCUUUAGGGCACCUGGCAACAAAUCCUUGGCAGUGCGUUGAGCGCGAUUGUAAGUUUGAUCAUAUUUCCUCCAUUCUUGAGAUGGUUUUUCUGCUAUGAAAUCUUCGAUGGCUGCCUCGCAUUUGGAUCUCCUAUGCUUUGGUUUGAAUCGUGGUUUGAAUCAUCCACAGAUCGCCAUUCUAUCGGUGUGUUUUCUUCCGGGAUAUUGGAACUCUAAUGCUUGCAUUCUCAAAUAUUUGUCGUAUUUUUUCUUGUGGAUCAUUGCUUGUUCUUUCGGAUCAUUGGCAAAAGAAGUACUGAUUUGGAAGCAAUGCAGAGAACUCCGGACUUUGGUGAUCUCGAUCGACUGAGUACAACUUUACUUCCUGGAUUUGAGAAAAAAAAAUGGCGUCGGCGAGUAGCAGCAGUGGCGGUGCCUGGGACGAGCUCAAGAUCCAGAUGAAGGACCUCCGAGCUCUGCUCCACAGCUCCAGCUUGAUCGAGAGGAGGAUCAAAUGCGAAGUGAAAAGGAUCCUCAACACUACCAUCUCCAACUACGAGGACCCUCACCGCUACGAAAACUCCAACACUGUUCUUGAAAUACUUUCAGGUAUGAUUCGCUAUAGAUCUUUGCACUUUUCCUUUUUGAAAAAGAAAACGAUAGAAAAACAAGAGCUAGAUUUUUUUGCCUGCUCUCUGGGAUCUCAUUCUCUUCUGUUUGAAUGGUCUAGCUCCUUCUUGCCAGGUUCUCUGAUGGGAUCAUUCACCAUCACUCCCCAUACUGUAUGAGUUCCGUAUCUAUACUGAGAGACACACUGUACAGGUCGAGGCAUCUCACCGCUAGAGGCAGCGUUUAUGUGGAUGGGUGCUUGGAGGCCAUCAGCUGCGAUCUCGCUGGUUUUCUCGGUCAUGGGACUCAAGAACCAGGGCCUCAACUUGAACAUCACCGAUCCAGGAACUUUGGGGGGAUCAGUCCCAGCUCUCAGCGAAGAACAGCUCUCCCAGCUCCAGACUUUCCGGGAUCUUACGAGCCAAGCCGAGAAGGAUCUCACGGAAGAACUCGCGACUGUCCAGGUGAGCUAAGCACUUCGGUUUUCCCUCAAGUGAUCGUUUGAUCUUUGCAGAUGAUGCUGGCGGAUCAGGACGUGGUGACUGAUCUCUUGAAGGACGACGAAGGAGAGGAGGGAUCGUCGUCCAGCUCCUCCAAGCUCAAGGAGACGCUCCAUUCUAAAAUCUCUAGCCUUCGCGAUGUUUUAAAGCGGGCCGACCAGCUUCGCAUCAAGACGCUGCUUGAGCUCCACUCUGUGCUGGCUCCCAUCCAAGCAGCGCAAUGUAGCAUCGUCGCUUUUGAGGUCGCGUUUGCGAUGCGCUCCUUAAAUUCAGCCACACCACCCACAACAUCGUGUCCUCGCAAAUGAUUCCCCAAAAACAGAAUGACCAAUGACCCCUGUCUGUGCAAAUAAUAAAGUGUAUUUAGGUCAUUGUUAGUUUUAAUCUGUUAUCAUGUAAUAGAAAAUCUAUACAGGGUAAUUUAAAUUUAUAGUGGGAGAGCUCCUUGCAUAAUUCUUGAAGAGAAUUUCUAUGCAAGAAUGUAAGAACUUAAAAGAGUUUCAUGGACAGGGAUAUGCUCUUUGAUCUUGUGCACAACACUUGAAAGGAGAACUCACAUACCUGGAUGCUCACAGUAAAUUUGUCUGUAUCACACAGCUCCCUCUUGGUCAGGAGUUGUAACUAGGAAUUCCUCCAUAGAAUGGACUUCCACUUCCUCUAGAGCUGAAGCUUUAAAGCAACAUAGCCAUUUCAGUUUAUCAGGUAGAACCUUAAAGUUCAUGGUUCGCUGUGUGACCUUUGGAGCUGGACUUGGACAGCCCUGCAUUGCUUACAGUUGACUUAGCAAGCUUUAGAAUGCA
This 13822-nucleotide long non-coding RNA is filed under the name Selaginella moellendorffii. Its description in RNAcentral is "long non-coding RNA (SMOE_LNC001390)". The record is from RNAcentral. Lineage: Eukaryota; Viridiplantae; Streptophyta; Lycopodiopsida; Selaginellales; Selaginellaceae.